RNAcentral lists this long non-coding RNA (686 nucleotides) under Equus caballus (horse). Its description in RNAcentral is "lncRNA (ENSECAG00000057403.1)". Lineage: Eukaryota; Metazoa; Chordata; Mammalia; Perissodactyla; Equidae. The record is from RNAcentral.
UUGGCGCGUCCCGCUUCUCCGCGCCUCGUUGGAAGGCCACACCCGGGCCUGGAGACCUGGACAGAAGCGGACACUGCGACUCAAAACCCCAGGCUCAAUGGGAGAUGCCUACCGUGCAAAGUCCCGGAGCGCUGGCCUGGAGGAAGAGGGCGUCCCGCGCCUGUGCAAAUACCUGGAGAACGCGCGGGAGACGAUGCUGCUGCAGGAUAUAGAACAGUGUGUCAACAUCCAAGAGGGAGAAAUUAAUCCAAAAUAAAUUAACCUGGAUUUCUAAAGUUCAGGGCAUUACCUCCAAGACUGCAUUUGGGAACAUUUUGUUUUGUAUCCAUACAUAAGUGGAUUUCUGCUUUUAAGAAUACAAUUUAAUCUACUUAGUGGAAAUCAACAGCAAAGUGGAGAGAAAGUAUUAAAUCAUCAAUAAAUGUAAGUUUGCAGAAAUUCUAUUACUGAUUGCUAUGUGCAUUAUUUAGAGCAGAAUCCACAAAAUAUUUCCAUCAGAUUAACCUGAAUCUGGUAAGUAUAUGAUAAAAAUAAAUAAAUGAGCAGAGAAGUAACAGUGUAUCAUGGACCUGUGCCCAAGUAGAAAAAUGUAUUUCUAUGGUCUGGUAAUAUUUGGUAAAAAUUAAUGAAAAUAUUUCUUCUAUGAGUCUGAAUAAGUUCAAGAAAACAUACAUUAAAGUACCCCC